AACGCUAGCUACAGGCUUAACACAUGCAAGUCGAGGGGCAGCGCAGUGUAGCAAUACAUGGGCGGCGACCGGCGCACGGGUGCGUAACGCGUAUCCAACCUUCCCGUUACUCUUGGAUAGCCUUCCGAAAGGGAGAUUAAUACAAGAUGGUAUUCAAAUUUCGCAUGUUAUUUGAAUUAAAGAUUUAUCGGUAACGGAUGGGGAUGCGUGACAUUAGGUAGAUGGCGGGGUAACGGCCCACCAUGCCUACGAUGUCUAGGGGUUCUGAGAGGAAGGUCCCCCACACUGGAACUGAGACACGGUCCAGACUCCUACGGGAGGCAGCAGUGAGGAAUAUUGGUCAAUGGUCGGAAGACUGAACCAGCCAAGUAGCGUGAAGGAUGAAGGUUCUAUGGAUUGUAAACUUCUUUUAUACGGGAAUAAAACCUCCUACGUGUAGGAGCUUGUAUGUACCGUAUGAAUAAGCAUCGGCUAACUCCGUGCCAGCAGCCGCGGUAAUACGGAGGAUGCGAGCGUUAUCCGGAUUUAUUGGGUUUAAAGGGAGCGUAGACGGGAGAUUAAGUCAGUUGUGAAAGGCUGCGGCUCAACCGCAGCACUGCAGUUGAUACUGGUUUCCUUGAGUUCGGUUGAGGUGUAUGGAAUUCGUGGUGUAGCGGUGAAAUGCUUAGAUAUCACGAAGAACUCCGAUUG
RNAcentral lists this ribosomal RNA (690 nucleotides) under uncultured bacterium. RNAcentral describes it as "bacterial SSU rRNA". It matches the Rfam family "Bacterial small subunit ribosomal RNA", at positions 32 to 715 of the family's 1533-position model. The record is from RNAcentral.